RNAcentral lists this ribosomal RNA (253 nucleotides) under uncultured bacterium. RNAcentral describes it as "partial 16S ribosomal RNA". It matches the Rfam family "Bacterial small subunit ribosomal RNA", at positions 524 to 776 of the family's 1533-position model. The record is from RNAcentral.
CACGUAGGGUGCGAGCGUUGUCCGGAAUUAUUGGGCGUAAAGAGCUCGUAGGCGGUGUGUCGCGUCGGCCGUGAAAACCUGCAGCUUAACUGUGGCGUGCGGUCGAUACGGGCAUCACUGGAGUUCGGCAGGGGAGACUGGAAUUCCUGGUGUAGCGGUGAAAUGCGCAGAUAUCAGGAGGAACACCGGUGGCGAAGGCGGGUCUCUGGGCCGAUACUGACGCUGAGGAGCGAAAGCGUGGGGAGCGAACAGG